Molecule: ribosomal RNA, 276 nt
Filed under: uncultured prokaryote
Description: partial 16S ribosomal RNA
Rfam family: Archaeal small subunit ribosomal RNA
Source: RNAcentral
GUGCCAGCCGCCGCGGUAAUACCGGCAGUCCGAGUGAUGGCCGAUCUUAUUGGGCCUAAAGCGUCCGUAGCUGGCUGAACAAGUCCGUUGGGAAAUCUGUCCGCUUAACGGGCAGGCGUCCAGCGGAAACUGUUCAGCUUGGGACCGGAAGACCUGAGGGGUACGUCUGGGGUAGGAGUGAAAUCCUGUAAUCCUGGACGGACCGCCGGUGGCGAAAGCGCCUCAGGAGAACGGAUCCGACAGUGAGGGACGAAAGCUAGGGUCUCGAACCGGAUU